UUGAACGCUGGCGGCAUGCCUUACACAUGCAAGUCGAACGGCAGCACGGGAGCAAUCCUGGUGGCGAGUGGGCGAACGGGUGAGUAAUAUAUCGGAACGUGCCCGGUCGUGGGGGAUAACGUAGCGAAAGCUACGCUAAUACCGCAUACGAUCUACGGAUGAAAGCGGGGGAUCGCAAGACCUCGCGCGAUUGGAGCGGCCGAUAUCAGAUUAGGUAGUUGGUGAGGUAAAGGCUCACCAAGCCGACGAUCUGUAGCUGGUCUGAGAGGACGACCAGCCACACUGGGACUGAGACACGGCCCAGACUCCUACGGGAGGCAGCAGUGGGAAUUUUGGACAAUGGGCGCAAGCCUGAUCCAGCAAUGCCGCGUGCAGGAUGAAGGCCUUCGGGUUGUAAACUGCUUUGUACGGAACGAAACGGUGAGCUCUAAUACAGUUUGCUAAUGACGGUACCGUAAGAAUAAGCACCGGCUAACUACGUG
This 482-nucleotide ribosomal RNA is filed under the name uncultured bacterium. RNAcentral's name for it is "bacterial SSU rRNA". It matches the Rfam family "Bacterial small subunit ribosomal RNA", at positions 30 to 507 of the family's 1533-position model. The record is from RNAcentral.